Molecule: long non-coding RNA, 742 nt
Filed under: Medicago truncatula (barrel medic)
Lineage: Eukaryota; Viridiplantae; Streptophyta; Magnoliopsida; Fabales; Fabaceae
Description: long non-coding RNA (MTRU_LNC000227)
Source: RNAcentral
UAACUUGAACCUUAUAAACUUUGUAUUUUUUAAGGAAAACUGCUCUACCUUCUUCAAUAUGCAGUCUUAAAGUAUUCAUUCCUUUCACACAUAUGAAAAUAACAUUCAAAGUCUAUAAGCCAAUUCCCUUCCGGUUUCCAAAAUGUCACCACUAGUGCAUCCACACCCUCAUAAUUCUCCUCUAAGACAACUCUACAACUUGCACAAAGUCAUUAUUUCCUUCCAACUUGAGACAAUCCUUAUUGAAGAGACCGGUCUUAAGAAACUUGAAAAACAUAAACUUUUCACCACCCUUGUAUUUUAAUUUUCCCCAAUUUCCUCUACUCCCACCUCUUCCUAUACAUUCAAGGCAUCCACACCACCUUCAACUCUUUAAACUUGGUCGACUCCAUGGUUCUAAGAGCCGAUUAGACUUCAUUGAAGAUGAUUUUACCUUACUUUUCAUAAAGCAUAUUAUCCAUGGAGUGGUCAAAAUAUAAUGCAUAGUAAGAGUAAAUCCUUAUCUUCAUCCUCAAUGUUCCCUUCAAUGUUCACCAAGUCAUCAAUGAUAUUCUCGAAUUUUGUCAAUUGAUCCACAAUUUUUUUUGGCUUCACCAUCCUAAAUGAAUAUAGUUUUUGUCUCAAGAAGUAUCUAUGAGCGAAUUAUUUGGUCAUACAUAAUGACUCUAACUUGGUACACAUGGUUGUUAUGGUUAGGGAAGGCAAUUGGACCCAGGCCUGAUGAGUACCCCAAAAAAAUAUC